UACGUAGGUGGCGAGCGUUGUCCGGAAUUACUGGGUGUAAAGGGCGUGUAGGCGGGAGAUCAAGUCAGAUGUGAAAUUCCCAGGCUUAACCUGGGCGCUGCAUCUGAAACUGAUUUUCUUGAGUGCUGGAGAGGGAAGCGGAAUUCCUAGUGUAGCGGUGAAAUGCGUAGAUAUUAGGAGGAACACCAGUGGCGAAGGCGGCUUUCUGGACAGUAACUGACGCUGAGGCGCGAAAGCGUGGGGAGCAAACAGGAUUAGAUACCCUGGUAGUCCACGCCGUAAACGAUGGAUACUAGGUGUAGGAGGUAUCGACCCCUUCUGUGCCGGAGUUAACACAAUAAGUAUCCCACCUGGGGAGUACGGCCGCAAGGUUGAA
RNAcentral lists this ribosomal RNA (376 nucleotides) under uncultured bacterium. RNAcentral describes it as "bacterial SSU rRNA". It matches the Rfam family "Bacterial small subunit ribosomal RNA", at positions 524 to 898 of the family's 1533-position model. The record is from RNAcentral.